GGGGAAUAUUGCACAAUGGAGGAAACUCUGAUGCAGCGACGCCGCGUGAGUGAAGAAGGUCUUCGGAUCGUAAAACUCUGUCCUUGGUGACGAAAAAUAUGACGGUAGCCAAGGAGGAAGCCCCGGCUAACUACGUGCCAGCAGCCGCGGUAAUACGUGGGGGGCGAGCGUUGUCCGGAUUUACUGGGCGUAAAGGGUGAGUAGGCGGUAAUAUGUGUCAGAUGUAAAAGGCUAUGGCUUAACCAUAGUUGGCAUUUGAAACUGUAUUACUUGGGUGCAGGAGAGGUAAGUGGAAUUCCUAGUGUAGAGGUGAAAUGCGUAAAUAUUAGGAGGAACACCAGUGGCGAACGCGACUUACUGGACUGGAACUGACGCUGACUCACGAAAGCGUGGGUAGCAAACA
Molecule: ribosomal RNA, 403 nt
Filed under: uncultured bacterium
Lineage: Bacteria
Description: bacterial SSU rRNA
Rfam family: Bacterial small subunit ribosomal RNA
Source: RNAcentral